Molecule: ribosomal RNA, 253 nt
Filed under: uncultured bacterium
Lineage: Bacteria
Description: partial 16S ribosomal RNA
Rfam family: Bacterial small subunit ribosomal RNA
Source: RNAcentral
UCCGUAGGGGGCAAGCGUUGACCGGAUUUAUUGGGCGUAAAGAGCGUGUAGGCGGCUUUACAGGUCCGUUGUGAAAACUCGAGGCUCAACCUCGAGACGCCGGUGGAAACCGUAAAGCUAGAGUCCGGAAGAUGAGAGUGGAAUUCCUGGUGUAGCGGUGAAAUGCGCAGAUAUCAGGAGGAACACCAAUUGCGAAGGCAGCUCGCUGGGACGUUACUGACGCUGAGACGCGAAAGCGUGGGGAGCAAACAGG